UCUUGGUCAUUUAGAGGAAGUAAAAGUCGUAACAAGGUCUCCGUUGGUGAACCAGCGGAGGGAUCAUUACCGAGUUUACAACUCCCAAACCCCUGUGAACAUACCUUAAUGUUGCCUCGGCGGAUCAGCCCGCGCCCCGUAAAACGGGACGGCCCGCCAGAGGAUCCAAACUCUAAUGUUUCUUAUUGUAACUUCUGAGUAAAACAAACAAAUAAAUCAAAACUUUCAACAACGGAUCUCUUGGUUCUGGCAUCGAUGAAGAACGCAGCAAAAUGCGAUAAGUAAUGUGAAUUGCAGAAUUCAGUGAAUCAUCGAAUCUUUGAACGCACAUUGCGCCCGCUGGUAUUCCGGCGGGCAUGCCUGUUCGAGCGUCAUUUCAACCCUCAAACCUCACGGUUUGGUGUUGGGGAUCGGGUUUUCGCAAGAGAACCCGCCCCCUAAAUACAUUGGCGGUCUCGCUGCAGCCUCCAUUGCGUAGUAGCUAACACCUCGCAACUGGAACGCGGCGCGGCCAUGCCGUAAAACCCCAACUUCUGAAUGUUGACCUCGGAUCAGGUAGGAAUACCCGCUGAACUUAAGCAUAUCAAUAAGCGGAGGAA
This 599-nucleotide ribosomal RNA is filed under the name sordariomycete sp. 7662. RNAcentral's name for it is "eukaryotic LSU rRNA". The stretch from base 221 to 374 matches the Rfam family "5.8S ribosomal RNA". The record is from RNAcentral. Lineage: Eukaryota; Fungi; Ascomycota; Sordariomycetes.